Molecule: ribosomal RNA, 1123 nt
Filed under: Escherichia coli
Lineage: Bacteria; Pseudomonadati; Pseudomonadota; Gammaproteobacteria; Enterobacterales; Enterobacteriaceae
Description: partial 23S ribosomal RNA
Rfam family: Bacterial large subunit ribosomal RNA
Source: RNAcentral
UUGUGAGGUUAAGCGACUAAGCGUACACGGUGGAUGCCCUGGCAGUCAGAGGCGAUGAAGGACGUGCUAAUCUGCGAUAAGCGUCGGUGAGGUGAUAUGAACCGUUAUAACCGGCGAUUUCCGAAUGGGGAAACCCAGUGUGUUUCGACACACUAUCAUUAACUGAAUCCAUAGGUUAAUGAGGCGAACCGGGGGAACUGAAACAUCUAAGUACCCCGAGGAAAAGAAAUCAACCGAGAUUCCCCCAGUAGCGGCGAGCGAACGGGGAGGAGCCCAGAGCCUGAAUCAGUGUGUGUGUUAGUGGAAGCGUCUGGAAAGGCGCGCGAUACAGGGUGACAGCCCCGUACACAAAAAUGCACAUAUUGUGAGCUCGAUGAGUAGGGCGGGACACGUGGUAUCCUGUCUGAAUAUGGGGGGACCAUCCUCCAAGGCUAAAUACUCCUGACUGACCGAUAGUGAACCAGUACCGUGAGGGAAAGGCGAAAAGAACCCCGGCGAGGGGAGUGAAAAAGAACCUGAAACCGUGUACGUACAAGCAGUGGGAGCCUCUUAAUGGGGUGACUGCGUACCUUUUGUAUAAUGGGUCAGCGACUUAUAUUCUGUAGCAAGGUUAACCGAAUAGGGGAGCCGAAGGGAAACCGAGUCUUAACUGGGCGUUAAGUUGCAGGGUAUAGACCCGAAACCCGGUGAUCUAGCCAUGGGCAGGUUGAAGGUUGGGUAACACUAACUGGAGGACCGAACCGACUAAUGUUGAAAAAUUAGCGGAUGACUUGUGGCUGGGGGUGAAAGGCCAAUCAAACCGGGAGAUAGCUGGUUCUCCCCGAAAGCUAUUUAGGUAGCGCCUCGUGAAUUCAUCUCCGGGGGUAGAGCACUGUUUCGGCAAGGGGGUCAUCCCGACUUACCAACCCGAUGCAAACUGCGAAUACCGGAGAAUGUUAUCACGGGAGACACACGGCGGGUGCUAACGUCCGUCGUGAAGAGGGAAACAACCCAGACCGCCAGCUAAGGUCCCAAAGUCAUGGUUAAGUGGGAAACGAUGUGGGAAGGCCCAGACAGCCAGGAUGUUGGCUUAGAAGCAGCCAUCAUUUAAAGAAAGCGUAAUAGCUCACUGGUCGAGUCGGCC